GGGGUGAUGGCGUGCCUUUUGGAGAAUGAUCCUGCGAGUUACGUUCAAUGGCGAGGUUAAGUUUAACGGAGCCGAAGGGAAACCGAGUCUGAAUAGGGCGAUUUAGUCGUUGGGCGUAGACGCGAAACCUGGUGAUCUAAGCCUGUCCAGGGUGAAGCUGUGGUAAGACACAGUGGAGGCCCGAACUCACCGCCGUUGAAAAGUUGGGAGAUGAGGUAGGUUUAGGGGUGAAAAGCCAAUCGAACCAGGAGAUAGCUCGUUCUCUCCGAAAUGCAUUUAGGUGCAGCCUUGAGUGUUCAAUUAUGGGGGUAGAGCACUGAAUGAUCUAGGGGGCGUAUUGCUUACCGAAAUCAAUCAAACUCCGAAUACCAUAAUUUAAGAGCUCAGGAGUGAGACUAUGGGAAUUAACUUCCAUGGUCAAAAGGGAAACAACCCAGACCACCAGCUAAGGUCCCUAAUUAUAACUAAGUGGGAAAGGAGGUGGAGAUUCACAAACAACCAGGAGGUUGGCUUAGAAGCAGCCAUUCCUUUAAAGAGUGCGUAAUAGCUCACUGGUCGAGAGUCUCUGCGCCGACAAUGUAACGGGGCUAAGUUAUAAACCGAAGCUGUGGAAUUGCGUAAGCAAUUGGUAGGAGAGCGUUCUGUAGGCCGUUGAAGGAGAAGGGUAACCGACUCUGGAGGUAUCAGAAGUGAGAAUGCAGGAAUAAGUAGCGAGAAUGGGGGCGAGAAUCCCCCAGGCCGGAAGAACAAGGGUUCCAGGGUAAAGUUUGUCUUCCCUGGGUAAGCCGGGACCUAAGCCGAGGCUAGAAUGCGUAGGCGAAUGGAAAGCAGAUUAAUAUUUCUGCGCCACUGAUAUUCAGUGAUGGAGGGACGCAGGAGGUUAUGUUCGCUGGCGAACGGAAGUGCCAGUCUAAGCAUGUAGGGUGAUUUUCCAGGUAAAUCCGGAAAGUUAGAUCUGAGGUGUGAUGGGGAGCCAUUAGGCGAAGGAACAAAUACCACACUGCCGAGAAAAGCUUCUAAGCGUUUUAAAGAUAUUAGUGCCCGUACCCGAAACCGACACAGGUGUUCAGGAUGAGAAAUCUAAGGCCGACAGGCUAACUCUCGUUAAGGAACUCUGCAAAAUGGCCCCGUAACUUCGGGAGAAGGGGUGCCCUUUGUUGUUACUGUCUACGCGACAGGAAGCAAUAGAGGGCCGCAGUGAAGAGUCUCAGGCGACUGUUUAACAAAAACACAGGUCUAUGCUAAGCUGUAAGGCGAUGUAUAUGGGCUGACACCUGCCCAGUGCCGGAAGGUUAAGAGGAGGAGUGAGAGCUCCGAAUUGAAGCCCCGGUGAACGGCGGCCGUAACUAUAACGGUCCUAAGGUAGCGAAAUUCCUUGUCGGGUAAGUUCCGACCUGCACGAAUGGUGUAACGAUCUGAGAGCUGUCUUGACGGGAGGCCUGGUGAAAUUGUAUUACCGGUGAAGAUACCGGUUACCUGCAGUAGGACGGAAAGACCCCAUGGAGCUUUACUGUAGCUUGGUAUUGGGUUUUGGUGUCGUAUGUAUAGGAUAGUUGGGAGACUAUGAGCUGUGAUCGCUAGAUUACAGGGAGUCACUGGUGGAAUACCAACCAUACUACAUCGAAAUUCUAAUUUGAGGUUUGUACCCUCGAAGACAGUGCUAGGUGGGCAGUUUGACUGGGGCGGUCGCCUCCGAAAGAGUAACGGAGGCGUUCAAAGGUUCCCUCAGGUUGGAUGGAAAUCAACCGGAGAGUGCAAUGGCAAAAGGGAGCUUAACUGCGAGACUGACGGGUCGAGCAGGUGCGAAAGCAGGACAUAGUGAUCCGGCGAUUCCGAAUGGAAGGGUCGUCGCUCAACGGAUAAAAGCUACCCUGGGGAUAACAGGCUGAUUCUACCCGAG
RNAcentral lists this non-coding RNA (1900 nucleotides) under Prosthecobacter debontii. Its description in RNAcentral is "23S rRNA. Bacterial LSU". It matches the Rfam family "Bacterial large subunit ribosomal RNA", at positions 590 to 2496 of the family's 2925-position model. Lineage: Bacteria; Pseudomonadati; Verrucomicrobiota; Verrucomicrobiia; Verrucomicrobiales; Verrucomicrobiaceae. The record is from RNAcentral.